UACGGAGGGUGCAAGCGUUAUCCGGAUUCACUGGGUUUAAAGGGAGCGUAGGCGGGCUGCCAAGUCCGGGGUGAAAUCCUCCAGCUUAACUGGAGAACUGCCUCGGAUACUGGAAGUCUCGAGGAGGGUAGGGGCAAGUGGAACCGUGGGUGGAGCGGUGAAAUGCGUUGAUAUCCAUGGGAACUCCGGUGGCGAAGGCGACUUGCUGGACCCUUUCUGACGCUGAGGCUCGAAAGCCAGGGGAGCAAACGGG
This 253-nucleotide ribosomal RNA is filed under the name uncultured bacterium. RNAcentral's name for it is "partial 16S ribosomal RNA". It matches the Rfam family "Bacterial small subunit ribosomal RNA", at positions 524 to 776 of the family's 1533-position model. The record is from RNAcentral.